RNAcentral lists this ribosomal RNA (432 nucleotides) under Paraburkholderia agricolaris. RNAcentral's name for it is "16S ribosomal RNA". It matches the Rfam family "Bacterial small subunit ribosomal RNA", at positions 365 to 791 of the family's 1533-position model. Lineage: Bacteria; Pseudomonadati; Pseudomonadota; Betaproteobacteria; Burkholderiales; Burkholderiaceae. The record is from RNAcentral.
CGGUUUGACGGCAACCCUGAUCCAGCAAUGCCGCGUGUGUGAAGAAGGCCUUCGGGUUGUAAAGCACUUUUGUCCGGAAAGAAAACGCUCUGGUUAAUACCCGGGGCGGAUGACGGUACCGGAAGAAUAAGCACCGGCUAACUACGUGCCAGCAGCCGCGGUAAUACGUAGGGUGCAAGCGUUAAUCGGAAUUACUGGGCGUAAAGCGUGCGCAGGCGGUCCGCUAAGACAGAUGUGAAAUCCCCGGGCUUAACCUGGGAACUGCAUUUGUGACUGGCGGGCUAGAGUAUGGCAGAGGGGGGUAGAAUUCCACGUGUAGCAGUGAAAUGCGUAGAGAUGUGGAGGAAUACCGAUGGCGAAGGCAGCCCCCUGGGCCAAUACUGACGCUCAUGCACGAAAGCGUGGGGAGCAAACAGGAUUAGAUACCCUGGA